AUAGAUGUGUGAUGGACAGUUUAUCUAUGAUCGAUGAUUAAGGAUAUUAAAGAGCUUGAAAGGCUCGACAUGAUCGUGUAUAAGAAAUUGCUAAUAGAUUUGAUCUUACAAUUUUUGAUUCAUAUGAAUAGUUUAUGAAACUAUUAUAUGAAUAAAUAUUAUAGCACCUUAGCUGAAUUGAUCGAUAUGCUGGUAACUAAGGGA
This 204-nucleotide long non-coding RNA is filed under the name Elaeis guineensis (African oil palm). Its description in RNAcentral is "long non-coding RNA (EGUI_LNC079676)". The record is from RNAcentral. Lineage: Eukaryota; Viridiplantae; Streptophyta; Magnoliopsida; Arecales; Arecaceae.